UACAGAGGUCUCAAGCGUUGUUCGGAUUCAUUGGGCGUAAAGGGUGCGUAGGUGGCGCUGUAAGUCGGGUGUGAAAUUUCGGAGCUUAACUCCGAAACUGCAUUCGAUACUGCGGUGCUUGAGGACUGGAGAGGAGACUGGAAUUCAUGGUGUAGCAGUGAAAUGCGUAGAGAUCAUGAGGAAGACCAGUGGCGAAGGCGGGUCUCUGGACAGUUCCUGACACUGAGGCACGAAGGCCAGGGGAGCAGACGGG
RNAcentral lists this ribosomal RNA (253 nucleotides) under uncultured bacterium. RNAcentral's name for it is "partial 16S ribosomal RNA". It matches the Rfam family "Bacterial small subunit ribosomal RNA", at positions 524 to 776 of the family's 1533-position model. The record is from RNAcentral.